UCCGGUUUGUCACCGGCAGUCUGGUGUGAGUCCCCAACUUAAUGAUGGCAACACACCACGGGGGUUGCGCUCGUUGCGGGACUUAACCCAACAUCUCACGACACGAGCUGACGACAGCCAUGCAGCAUCUGUGGUGCACCCUCGAAGGUUACACAUUUCUGUGUGCUUGCAGCACCAUGUCAAGUCCAGGUAAGGUUCUUCGCGUUGCAUCGAAUUAAAGAACAUGCUCCGCUGCUUGUGCGGGCCCCCGUCAAUUCCUUUGAGUUUCAGUCUUGCGACCGUACUCCCCUGGCGGGACACUUAACGCGUUAGCUACGGCACAGAGGGGGUUGAUACCCUCUACACCCAGUGUCCAUCGUUUACGGCUCGGACUAC
RNAcentral lists this unclassified non-coding RNA (375 nucleotides) under uncultured Rubrobacterales bacterium. RNAcentral describes it as "contains 16S-23S intergenic spacer region". Lineage: Bacteria; Bacillati; Actinomycetota; Rubrobacteria; Rubrobacterales. The record is from RNAcentral.